UACGAGGGGGGCGAGCGUUGUUCGGAAUUAUUGGGCGUAAAGGGUGCGUAGGCGGUUCCGCAAGUCCUGUGUGAAAUCUUCGGGCUCAACUCGAAGUCUGCACGGGAAACUGCGGGGCUUGAGUGUGGGAGAGGUGAGUGGAAUUCCCGGUGUAGCGGUGAAAUGCGUAGAUAUUGGGUAGAACACCGGUGGCGAAGGCGGCCAUCUGGGCAGCAACUGACGCUGAGGCGCGAGAGCGUGGGGAGCAAACAGG
This 253-nucleotide ribosomal RNA is filed under the name uncultured bacterium. Its description in RNAcentral is "partial 16S ribosomal RNA". It matches the Rfam family "Bacterial small subunit ribosomal RNA", at positions 524 to 776 of the family's 1533-position model. The record is from RNAcentral.